AUUGUGAAGUCGGGGGAAGGCUGGCAGAGGGGCCCAGUCUAGUCUGUGACCUGAGCCAUCAUGGUAGGGUGUCCAGGGUGAGGGGAGGGUGGUGUGAAUCCCCAGUAAUGCAGGUCCUUUCCAGGCCAGGCCCCUGGUCCCCAGGAGUGCGGGGAUGCCUGAGGUCUACUGCUGCCUUAUCCAGAGCUGCCAUCCCCGGCGAUGACUCAGAGUUCCUGUGGCCCCAGCAUCAUCCCUCCAUCCCUGGCUGUGAGGCAGGAGCAGAGUUGCAGACCUGAGAGGCCUUGAAUUUGUUUGAUAUAGGACUUUGCCACCAGACAAAGUGCUUUGCCUGUGAGGUCUGGCUUGGCCUGGCCUCUGAGAAAGAACAAACACAGACCUCACUGGAAGGAACCUGGAGAACGGGAGAGGAGAGGCUGCUGCUGUCUGCCCUCCCAGCAGCAGAUAUAAAGACAAUGGGCUUCUAAGUCCCCUAGAGUCCCAGCUGUGUAAUUUAAGGCAAAUAUAAUUUCUGACCUACGUAAUGAUGUAUGCACAAGAAGCCUCUCUUGAAUGUAUUAAUUCAGUAAACAGUUAUGGAGUCCUUACAAUGUGCUAGUGGGACUUUGAAGAUGAAUCCAAAUUUGGAUCCUGGCCUGGAAAGGCUCAAAGCCCAAUAUGGGAGAUUCUAGCAAGACCUUGUUUAUGUUGGAAACUGUUAGCAGACGCCGAAGCUGUCCGGGGCUGAGUGAGUACCACGUUACUCAGGCUUCACUGCGCUGAAGGAAGAGGUUGAGAUGAGGGCAGUCACUCACCUGUGAUGAAGACCCACUCUGCAGCUUCAUUUCCUGUCAUUACAGACAGUGCCUGGGCCCAAUCAGGAGGGGCUUAUGGGGAAUGGGGGGCAGGUGGCACUGGGGUGUCUAGGGAGAGCAAAUACAAAUUGGAUACCACCUAGAGGUCGCGAAAUGGAGAAUAAGUUUCUAAGAACAGCUAAAAAAUGAAAGAGACAUGACAACCAAAUGCAACAUGUGACCCUUGAUAGGCCCUUAGACUUUUUUUAAAAAAAAGCUAUAAAGAACAUUAUUGGGACCACUGUGUCAAUUUGAAUAUGAUUGCAUGUUAUAUGAUAUUAUUGCAUUAAUAUUAAACUUCUUAAGUAUGAAA
Molecule: long non-coding RNA, 1146 nt
Organism: Homo sapiens (human)
Lineage: Eukaryota; Metazoa; Chordata; Mammalia; Primates; Hominidae
Product: long intergenic non-protein coding RNA 1227
Source: Ensembl